This 481-nucleotide ribosomal RNA is filed under the name uncultured bacterium. RNAcentral's name for it is "partial 16S ribosomal RNA". It matches the Rfam family "Bacterial small subunit ribosomal RNA", at positions 30 to 506 of the family's 1533-position model. The record is from RNAcentral.
AUUGAACGCUGGCGGCAUGCUUUACACAUGCAAGUCGAACGGUAACAGGCCGCCAGGUGCUGACGAGUGGCGAACGGGUGAGUAAUGCAUCGGAACGUGCCCAGUCGUGGGGGAUAACUACUCGAAAGAGUAGCUAAUACCGCAUACGAUCUAUGGAUGAAAGCGGGGGACCGUAAGGCCUCGCGCGAUUGGAGCGGCCGCUGUCAGAUUAGGUAGUUGGUGGGGUACAGGCUCACCAAGCCAACGCUCUGUAACUGGUCUGUGAGGACGACCACCCACACGGGGAUUGAGACACGGCCCAGACUCCUACGGGAGGCAGCAGUGGGGAAUUUUGGACAAUGGGCGCAAGCCUGAUCCAGCAAUGCCGCGUGCAGGAAGAAGGCCUUCGGGUUGUAAACUGCUUUUGUACGGAACGAAACGGCUCUGGUUAAUACCCGGGGCUAAUGACGGUACCGUAAGAAUAAGCACCGGCUAACUACGU